UCCGGUUUGUCACCGGCAGUCCCAUUAGAGUGCUCAGCUGAAUGUAGCAACUAAUGGCAAGGGUUGCGCUCGUUGCGGGACUUAACCCAACAUCUCACGACACGAGCUGACGACAGCCAUGCAGCACCUGUGUUACGGCUCCCUUUCGGGCACUCCUGCAUCUCUGCAGGAUUCCGUACAUGUCAAGGGUAGGUAAGGUUCUUCGCGUUGCGUCGAAUUGAACCACAUGCUCCGCUGCUUGUGCGGGUCCCCGUCAAUUCCUUUGAGUUUUAGCCUUGCGGCCGUACUCCCCAGGCGGGGCACUUAGUGCGUUAGCUACGGCACGGGAGGAGUCGACACCUCCCACACCUAGCAUCCACCGUUUAGGGCGUGGACUAC
Molecule: unclassified non-coding RNA, 378 nt
Filed under: uncultured bacterium
Lineage: Bacteria
Description: contains 16S-23S intergenic spacer region
Source: RNAcentral